UACGAAGGGGGCUAGCGUUGUUCGGAAUUACUGGGCGUAAAGCGCGCGCAGGCGGUCUUCCAAGUCAUUGGUGAAAGCCUGGAGCUCCACUCCAGAACUUCCAUUGAAACUGUUAGACUUGAGUACGAGAGAGGUGAGUGGAAUUCCCAGUGUAGAGGUGAAAGUCGUAGAUAUUGGGAAGAACACCAGUGGCGAAGGCGGCUCACUGGCGCGUAACUGACGCUCAGGCGCGACAGCGUGGGGAUCAAACAGG
Molecule: ribosomal RNA, 253 nt
Filed under: uncultured bacterium
Lineage: Bacteria
Description: partial 16S ribosomal RNA
Rfam family: Bacterial small subunit ribosomal RNA
Source: RNAcentral